GCUUGUUGAAGAUAAAAAGUAAUGGGAAAAUCCUGCUUCUAAUUCAGAACACAACAGCUGUUUGGUGAACCAACUCGACAGCAAGAGUUGAGAAUCCAUUAUUGCAGCUCCUGGAUUCAGGUAAUCUUGUUGUCAGAGAUGGAAAGGAUAGUGAACCAGAGAAUUACUUGUGGCAAAGCUUUGAUUAUCCAUCAGAUACGAUCUUACCAGGGAUGAAAAUUGGUAUUAAUUUGAGAACUGGUCUUAAUCGAAGACUAGCAGCCUGGAAGAAUUGGGAUGAUCCAUCUCCAGGUGAUUUUACUUUUGGUGAAGAACUCCAAGGAAACCCAAAGAUGGUGCAAAGGAAAGGCUCAGA
This 355-nucleotide long non-coding RNA is filed under the name Gossypium barbadense (sea-island cotton). RNAcentral's name for it is "long non-coding RNA (GBAR_LNC000170)". The record is from RNAcentral. Lineage: Eukaryota; Viridiplantae; Streptophyta; Magnoliopsida; Malvales; Malvaceae.